Molecule: ribosomal RNA, 514 nt
Filed under: uncultured Paraglomus
Lineage: Eukaryota; Fungi; Glomeromycota; Glomeromycetes; Paraglomerales; Paraglomeraceae
Description: SSU rRNA
Rfam family: Eukaryotic small subunit ribosomal RNA
Source: RNAcentral
AGCAGCCGCGGUAAUUCCAGCUCCAAUAGCGUAUAUUAAAGUUGUUGCAGUUAAAAAGCUCGUAGUUGAACUUCAGGCCUGGCUGGACGGUCCGCCUUCUGGGUGAGUACUGUCUGUGGUCGGGUCCUACCUUCUGGCGAAGCGUCAUGGCCUUAACCGGCCGUGGCGGGGAGCCAGGACUUUUACUGUGAAAAAUUAGAGUGUUCAAAGCAGGCACGCGCUUGAAUACAUUAGCAUGGAAUAAUGGAAUAGGACAGUGGUUCUAUUUGUUGGUUUCUAGGACCGUUGUAAUGAUUAAUAGGGAUAGUUGGGGGCAUUAGUAUUCAAUUGUCAGAGGUGAAAUUCUUGGAUUUAUUGAAGACUAACUACUGCGAAAGCAUUUGCCAAGGAUGUUUUCAUUAAUCAAGAACGAAAGUUAGGGGAUCGAAGACGAUCAGAUACCGUCGUAGUCUUAACCAUAAACUAUGCCGACUAGGAAUCGGGCGAUGUUGACAAAAUGACGCGCUCGGCACCU